AUUACAGACUUAAAAAUGUACUCAUAAAAGUACAAAUACACGAAAAAACUACUUAAAGAGCACCUAUUAUGGGAUACACGUUUUUAAACAUCAUUUUGUGUGUAAGUGUGUAUUAGUACAUGCUAACGAUAUUCAAAAAGUACAUACCUCAAAGAAAACGAUGACGCGAGUUAUCGUCUCUAACGUUCGAGGACUACAAAAAACACUCGGAUUGUAGGCAACAGUUUACUUCCUGGGAUUAGUGACGUAGAUAAGACCAACAUUAUCAUAGUUCAGCCCUCUCUGCUUUGCUUGGGUACGCCCUCAAAGACGAGGGUGGGGAGCGCCGAGUCAGAAGAGAGCUAAAAUGGCGGAGGUUGGGAGUCCCUGCUUUGACUCUGUUUGCAAACUCUUGUUUCAUUGUUUAAGCGAUUAAAUCUCUCGAGUAGACGCUGUCUCUUUAGAUGCGAGGGAAAAAUAGCACUUUAUGGACUUACACAGAGGACAUCAUGUUUAAUACGGUUCCGGAAAAAUCCAGUCAGAAGUUGUUCACGGAGUUUUCACAAUAACUGCUUCUCAUGAACCGAAGCUGGACGUCUCCUUCUGAAAGUUGGAUUACUGUGCACUUCUGGAUCACAGGCUAUUCGCAGCUGGACACAUCCUUCUACACUGUAUGCAAACAUGCAACAUCAUAACACACAGUACAAGGAGUCAGACUGGCAUAUGAGGAGCAAAGGAACCCAGACAGUAGCAUCGUUUCACAAUGUUUCCAUCACCAUCAUCAGUGGAUGCCUUUGCCGUCCGUAGCCUGAGAUUUCAGAUUUGCAGCAAAAAAAAUUGAUUUUCUCAUUUAUUGGAAUGCUAUGCAGGUUGUACCUUGCAGCCAUCCAUUACAAUGUCACCAAGCCGUAACAAAAGCAGGAGAGGGAAAGUACAAGGCUAUGUUCCCAAAACACACAAAUGACAUACCUUAUGUGGAUGAUGUGAUCAGGCUUGUGUUUGCUGAGGUAUUUGAAGAUAAGCUGAAGGAAACCCCGAUUCCAAUGGACCUGGCAUCACAGUUUGAGAGACCUUCAAAGGAGGACGUGAUUGCAUGCCAUCUUCAGUGCAGGGGUCGUCGGAAGCCAACAUUCCGAUCAGGAAGCUCCAAGCGUAUCUGGAGAACAACACACGACAGGAUGAUAACCCUAAAGUGUCAUCUUAGAUAGCAUCAGCUGACAAAGCUUUGAUAUGCCAUUUAUCUGAAUAGAUAGCUGUAAGAAGUGAAUUGAACAAUUUUGAAAGAAGAGCACAAUA
Molecule: long non-coding RNA, 1275 nt
Organism: Paramisgurnus dabryanus
Lineage: Eukaryota; Metazoa; Chordata; Actinopteri; Cypriniformes; Cobitidae
Source: RefSeq, a predicted model, not a curated record